CGUGGUAUGCUAAAGCCUAGCAAUGUUGGAGGAUGUUUUUGAACUGAAUUUGACAAACUGUAUCCUGGCUGUCUGCCUGUCAGUGGUGGAGAACUGUUCAACUUGGUUUUUACCGACCGAUUUCUAACAUGAAGGAGCACUCUCAGAUGGACCUUGCCUGAUGGAGCUCUGCUCAUGUUAACAAACAUUAGCCUUUAGCCAACCUCAGGCUUCAUCUUUGCAGACAUUGGGAGCUGUCAUUUCAUGACACCCUGUGACGUGGGUGACACACAGCAGAAAUGACAGGUGCUGGACAGCAGACGCAUGCCUAGGCGAUCUGGCAAUAUUUCUUAAGGAUUGCCCGGUUUGAGGGGUAAAGACCAACACACAGAAAAAUUGGGAAAACACGGGAACCUUUGAUGCCACUAGAUCAGUUUCUUCUGCCAGUACCCAUCUCCAUCACUGCCACAUCAGCUGGUCCCAAGGUUGUGAGGUUAUCCGAACAUCUGGCCCCUCCACCAUGUUUUCUAAGUGAAAAUGUCAUCGACCACCAGCAAUAGCAUUCUUAACCAUACUGGUACAUACUUACAAACCUGCUUGUUUCCCAUACAGGUAUCCUAAUAUGUGGAUGGCCUUCUGCCAGUUGGGCCUAGCUCCAAGUGCUGUAGUGUCAACACUGAAGAGAGAGGGCCAGGGGGUGAUUGUUUUCUGUGUUUUCUUUAAACCUGUUUGAACUGCGACUCUGCUCCCCAUGGAGUGACAUUUCCAGGCGACACAGUAGUGCAGGCCACACUUUAUUCCAACCCCUUCAUCAACACGGCAGGGCUACAGCACUUCCACCGCUGUCUCUGUCUCGUCUAUAGAAGUACUAACAACAGAAGACAGCACAAAGUUCACUUGGAAAAUGCUUUUUGAUGUCCCAACUUGUCAACACAGUCCUGAGCGGCAGAGGAGGAUUUUCCUGAUUGCUACCCCCCUUUCCACAAUGACCCUUUGAUUGUCAUUUGAAGAUGGUGUAUGAGACAUGCUUGUCAUGUUAAUAAAGACAGUAAACCACAUGUAUCCCUGUACCAUAGAACAAAGUCCAGACCUGUCUGGGAAUAUAGAUCUCUAAUUGGUUUUGCGUGGUGGUGCAGCAGAAUUGUGCUUCCCAGAUGUCACCUCAGCCAAACCCUAGUGCACAUCACUGUCAACGGUCCCGAGAAAUCUCCCUAACAAGCUCGCGAUUACAUAAAUCUAUAGUUGUACUCGCGACAAAGAGACUGAACAACUUUCAAGGAGACUUUAUGUUUGAUGUUCCAGGCCUUGAUUGCAUUUCGAAAAAAAGAGAAACCCACUAUAUUGGGAAUGUGUCCAAACAGUCUAGGUUUGCUAAUUUUGUCAUAGUCAAUUUCAUAGCACAGUCGUGAGAACGGGCAGCGAUGGAAUGAAGUUCCUGAGUGCUUUGCAGAGGGGCGUGAGUGGGUUUGACAGGCCCAGUGAAAUAUGCUCUGCUCUACCUUUUUUCAUUACAGGAGCAGGGACCAAAAAUGCAAAUCCAUGGUCCUUUCUUGAGAGGUCAUUAGAAAAGUGACAUAUCAAACAACUGGCUUCAAGUGGAAGACCAAAUCUUGCUUUAUUGCUACAUCAUUGUUUUCAUAUUUUAAUUUCUGAUAUUACAGUGGCUUUUCAAAUUUCCAAUUUCAAUAAAGGACUGUUUUGCUUUGA
This is a long non-coding RNA of Xiphias gladius (swordfish), 1686 nucleotides long. RefSeq lists it as uncharacterized. The record is from RefSeq and is a predicted model, not a curated record. Lineage: Eukaryota; Metazoa; Chordata; Actinopteri; Istiophoriformes; Xiphiidae. The transcript has 7 exons.